AGUGAACGCUGGCGGUAGGCCUAACACAUGCAAGUCGAACGGCAGCACAGUAAGAGCUUGCUCUUACGGGUGGCGAGUGGCGGACGGGUGAGGAAUACAUCGGAAUCUACUUUUUCGUGGGGGAUAACGUAGGGAAACUUACGCUAAUACCGCAUACGACUUACGGGUGAAAGCAGGGGAUCUUCGGACCUUGCGCGAUUGAAUGAGCCGAUGUCGGAUUAGCUAGUUGGCGGGGUAAAGGCCCACCAAGGCGACGAUCCGUAGCUGGUCUGAGAGGAUGAUCGGCCACACUGGAACUGAGACGCGGUCCAGCCUCCUACGGGAGGCAGCAGUGGGGAAUAUUGGACAAUGGGCGCAAGCCUGAUCCAGCCAUGCCGCGUGGGUGAAGAAGGCCUUCGGGUUGUAAAGCCCUUUUGUUGGGAAAGAAAAGCAGCAGGUUAAUACCCCGCUGUUCUGACGGUACCCAAAGAAUAAGCACCGGCUAACUUCGUG
RNAcentral lists this ribosomal RNA (492 nucleotides) under uncultured bacterium. RNAcentral describes it as "partial 16S ribosomal RNA". It matches the Rfam family "Bacterial small subunit ribosomal RNA", at positions 29 to 507 of the family's 1533-position model. The record is from RNAcentral.